AGGGCGAAGCCAAGGGAAACCUUGGUGGAGGCUCGCCGCGUCUCUAACGUGCAAAUUGACCGUCAAACCUAGGCAAAGGGGCGAAAGGUGAGUGGGGCGCAGCGAGCGAAGCGAGCGAGCCCGUGAGCGACGAGGACUAACGCCGAGCAGACUAAUCGAAUCACCUAGUAGCUGGUUCCCUCCGAAAUUUCGUGCGUUUGGGUUCGGUGUGAGAGGGCGAGCAGCCAGCAACUAACCCCCCUGAUAGCCUUAGGAUAGCACCCAUGCAGGCAGCUUCAUCCGGUAGAGCGAAUGAUUGGCGAAGUGGGGGGCCUAGUGCCCUUCGUCGACUCUCAAACUCCGAAUGGGUGAGAGUGGCCCGCUGCUUCUCUGAGCGGGCCAAGUGAGUGCGCGUGGUUGGUGGGCCAUUCCUGGUAAGCAGGACUGGCGAUGCGGGAUGAACCGAACGCCCACGCUAACCAGCCCAACUCCCCGCUCAUCGAUCCCAGAAAAGGUGUCGCAGAAUUCAGAC
This 511-nucleotide non-coding RNA is filed under the name Beta vulgaris subsp. vulgaris (sugar beet). RNAcentral's name for it is "Eukaryotic large subunit ribosomal RNA". It matches the Rfam family "Eukaryotic large subunit ribosomal RNA", at positions 843 to 1238 of the family's 3401-position model. The record is from Rfam by way of RNAcentral. Lineage: Eukaryota; Viridiplantae; Streptophyta; Magnoliopsida; Caryophyllales; Amaranthaceae.